GAUGAAGAACGCAGCGAAAUGCGAUAAGUAAUGUGAAUUGCAGAAUUCAGUGAAUCAUCGAAUCUUUGAACGCACAUUGCGCCCGCCAGUAUUCUGGCGGGCAUGCCUGUUCGAGCGUCAUUUCAACCAUCAAGCCCCCGGCUUGUGUUGGGGACCUGCGGCUGCCGCAGGCCCUGAAAACCAGUGGCGGGCUCGCUAGUCACUCCGAGCGUAGUAAUACAUCUCGCUCAGGGCGUGCUGCGGGUUCCGGCCGUUAAAAAGCCUUAUUUACCCGAGGUUGACCUCGGAUCAGGUAGGAAGACACGCUGAACUUAAGCAUAUCAAUAAGCGGAGGA
This 335-nucleotide unclassified non-coding RNA is filed under the name soil metagenome. RNAcentral describes it as "partial contains 5.8S ribosomal RNA, internal transcribed spacer 2, and large subunit ribosomal RNA". The stretch from base 1 to 120 matches the Rfam family "5.8S ribosomal RNA", at positions 35 to 154 of the family's 154-position model. The record is from RNAcentral.